GAUGAACGCUGGCGGCGUGCCUAAUACAUGCAAGUCGAGCGAACGGACGAGAAGCUUGCUUCUCUGAUGUUAGCGGCGGACGGGUGAGUAACACGUGGAUAACCUACCUAUAAGACUGGGAUAACUUCGGGAAACCGGAGCUAAUACCGGAUAAUAUUUUGAACCGCAUGGUUCAAAAGUGAAAGACGGUCUUGCUGUCACUUAUAGAUGGAUCCGCGCUGCAUUAGCUAGUUGGUAAGGUAACGGCUUACCAAGGCAACGAUGCAUAGCCGACCUGAGAGGGAGGACGGCCACACUGGAACUGAGACACGGUCCAGACUCCUACGGGAGGCAGCAGUAGGGAAUCUUCCGCAAUGGGCGAAAGCCUGACGGAGCAACGCCGCGUGAGUGAUGAAGGUCUUCGGAUCGUAAAACUCUGUUAUUAGGGAAGAACAAAUGUGUAAGUAACUGUGCACAUCUUGACGGUACCUAAUCAGAAAGCCACGGCUAACUACGUG
This 497-nucleotide ribosomal RNA is filed under the name uncultured bacterium. RNAcentral's name for it is "partial 16S ribosomal RNA". It matches the Rfam family "Bacterial small subunit ribosomal RNA", at positions 28 to 507 of the family's 1533-position model. The record is from RNAcentral.